RNAcentral lists this ribosomal RNA (158 nucleotides) under Pseudoarmillariella ectypoides. RNAcentral describes it as "5.8S ribosomal RNA". It matches the Rfam family "5.8S ribosomal RNA". Rfam says of the family: 5.8S ribosomal RNA (5.8S rRNA) is a component of the large subunit of the eukaryotic ribosome. It is transcribed by RNA polymerase I as part of the 45S precursor that also contains 18S and 28S rRNA. Lineage: Eukaryota; Fungi; Basidiomycota; Agaricomycetes; Agaricales; Tricholomataceae. The record is from RNAcentral.
CAACUUUCAACAACGGAUCUCUUGGUUCUCGCAUCGAUGAAGAACGCAGCGAAAUGCGAUAAGUAAUGUGAAUUGCAGAUUUCAGUGAAUCAUCGAAUCUUUGAACGCACCUUGCACCCCUUGGUAUUCCGAGGGGUAUGCCUGUUUGAGUGUCAUUA